RNAcentral lists this unclassified non-coding RNA (274 nucleotides) under Hevea brasiliensis (rubber tree). The record is from RNAcentral. Lineage: Eukaryota; Viridiplantae; Streptophyta; Magnoliopsida; Malpighiales; Euphorbiaceae.
UUUCCCAUUGAUUUUGGAAUGUCACGGAUUGUGGUUAAAAUUGGUUCAGCUAGGCGAUGAAAAGGGUGUGCACAUACUGGCACACAGGCAGGCGUUUUGCUGUUUUUUGUAGACUAUAGCAGUUAAAAAGCUUUAUAAUUGAUCAAAAUGUUCUAUCCUUGAAGUUGUUCUAUUAUUGCUUUUGUUUGUGGAUCACUUCAUUGAAUGCCAUAGCAGUUUGGUUAUAGAAGUUUCAGUUUCUUGUGUUUACUUUAGUGCUGUACCAUAUUGGAGG